This 432-nucleotide ribosomal RNA is filed under the name uncultured bacterium. RNAcentral describes it as "partial 16S ribosomal RNA". It matches the Rfam family "Bacterial small subunit ribosomal RNA", at positions 338 to 795 of the family's 1533-position model. The record is from RNAcentral.
CCUACGGGGGGCAGCAGUGGGGAAUUUUGGACAAUGGGCGCAAGCCUGAUCCAGCCAUGCCGCGUGAGUGAAGAAGGCCUUCGGGUUGUAAAGCUCUUCGCGAGAACGGGCGGUACCGGAAGAAGAAGGACCGGCUAACUACGUGCCAGCAGCCGCGGUAAUACGUAGGGUCCAAGCGUUAAUCGGAAUUACUGGGCGUAAAGCGUGAGUAGGCGGUCUCGCAAGUCCGAUGUGAAAUCCCCGGGCUUAACCUGGGAACUGCGUUGGAAACUACGAGACUAGAGUGCGGCAGAGGGGGGUGGAAUUCCAGGUGUAGCAGUGAAAUGCGUAGAUAUCUGGAGGAACACCGAUGGCGAAGGCAGCCCCCUGGGUUAGACUGACGCUCAUACACGAAAGCGUGGGGAGCAAACAGGAUUAGAUACCCUUGUAGUC